This is a long non-coding RNA of Dermacentor silvarum, 285 nucleotides long. RefSeq lists it as uncharacterized. The record is from RefSeq and is a predicted model, not a curated record. The transcript has 3 exons. NCBI's taxonomy places the organism in Eukaryota, Metazoa, Arthropoda, Arachnida, Ixodida, Ixodidae.
CAAAGAAAUCACCACGACAUGAGCGUCGAAUCUUCAAGCCAGAACGAAACGACGUAGGAAUUUUUCUUUUCAACCACGGUUACCUUUUUACUUCUGUGUCUUCAAAAGCGUUUCUUCAGGCAUGAUUAAGAGACUGAUUUGCGUGGCACUUGUAUUUGCGUGCACAACGUACGCCAAUGCCACAUCCGACAAAGAACCAUCAGAGUGCGAACGAGUGAUGAAGGCAGCCCAUACCUGCUCAGACGAGUCCCCUUACCACCUACCAGAAGGGUUUUUCGAUAGGGU